AAAAAGUUGACGCCGUUGACUUUUUCUUAUAUGUUUGACCAUUCAUCUUAUUCAAAAAAUUUACGUAAUUAUAAUUUAUUUUGUUAUGAGAUAUUUUAUCACUCAUAGUACUUUAAGUGUGAUUUAUAUCUUAUAUAUUUGCAUAAAAUUUUUGAAUAAAACGAAUGGUUAAACAUGUGAGGAAAAGUCAAUGGCGUCAUCUAUU
Oryza glaberrima (African rice) is the source of this 205-nucleotide non-coding RNA. The record is from Rfam. Lineage: Eukaryota; Viridiplantae; Streptophyta; Magnoliopsida; Poales; Poaceae.